UGGCGGACGGGUGAGUAACGCGUGGGGAACCUGCCCUGUACCGGGGGAUAGCAGCCGGAAACGGCUGAUAAUACCGCAUAAGCGCACGAAUGUCGCAUGACAUGGUGUGAAAAACUCCGGUGGUAUAGGAUGGACCCGCGUCUGAUUAGCCGGUUGGUGGGGUAAAAGCCUACCAAAGCGAAGAUCAGUAGCCGAGUUGAGAGACUGACCGGCCACAUUGGGACUGAGACACGGCCCAGACUCCUACGGGAGGCAGCAGCA
Molecule: ribosomal RNA, 261 nt
Filed under: uncultured bacterium
Lineage: Bacteria
Description: partial 16S ribosomal RNA
Rfam family: Bacterial small subunit ribosomal RNA
Source: RNAcentral